This 429-nucleotide ribosomal RNA is filed under the name Chloroflexota bacterium. RNAcentral's name for it is "Chloroflexi bacterium partial 16S ribosomal RNA". It matches the Rfam family "Bacterial small subunit ribosomal RNA", at positions 355 to 776 of the family's 1533-position model. Lineage: Bacteria; Bacillati; Chloroflexota. The record is from RNAcentral.
UGGGGAAUAUUGCACAAUGGGCGCAAGCCUGAUGCAGCCAUGCCGCGUGUGUGAAGAAGGCCUUCGGGUUGUAAAGCACUUUCAGCGGGGAGGAAGGCGAUAAGGUUAAUAACCUUGUCGAUUGACGUUACCCGCAGAAGAAGCACCGGCUAACUCCGUGCCAGCAGCCGCGGUAAUACGGAGGGUGCAAGCGUUAAUCGGAAUUACUGGGCGUAAAGCGCACGCAGGCGGUCUGUCAAGUCGGAUGUGAAAUCCCCGGGCUCAACCUGGGAACUGCAUUCGAAACUGGCAGGCUAGAGUCUUGUAGAGGGGGGUAGAAUUCCAGGUGUAGCGGUGAAAUGCGUAGAGGUCUGGAGGAAUACCGGUGGCGAAGGCGGCCCCCUGGACAAAGACUGACGCUCAGGUGCGAAAGCGUGGGGAGCAAACAGG